UUAGAAUUUUCCCAUGGAGUCUUGCGGCGCCUGGGCACGUGCUUCGCUGCACAGCUGGAUAAAGGUUGUAUCGAUAUUGGAAAAAAUCCUUGGGAAAUUUCUAGGGAAAUUAUAAGAACGACGCUGGGCGUCGAUGCAAGUUCACUGUCGAUGAUUCAAGGAAACAUCUUCGUUACAUAAAAAUACUUAAAUGCAAAACUGUUCCUUAUUAUAAACUGAACGGUCAGUCUGGCAAGUGAAAAAUUCCUCAGAAUAAUUUCUAGAAAAGUCACUCUUGUUUUUCAAAUAUCUAAUUUCAAUUGUUGGUCCGGUGACCUCAACAAGAACAAAGUAACAGUUACGUAUCAGCAUUAUUAAAAUGUCCUAUUCAACUAUGUAAUGAAACACCUCAAGCACGCAACUGUUAUAUCCCUGAAUAAGGCAUUUUAACAUUGUACCUGUGAAUGUUACUAUGUCUUUGCUUGGACUAUACAAUACAUACAAUAUAAAGUCUUUGAUUCCUCUAGUACCUUUGCGACUUCAUGACUUUGUCUUAAACGCUGAAGAUACAACAGUAGUCUCAGGACAAGUAGAUCCUACGGUGAGAAAGUUACAAAAGUCAUCCUAGAGUACAAACACAACGCGAAAAAAAAAGGAAGAGAAACGUCUGUUACUUGAGACAUUGAGACUUACUGUACUCCUACGAAUACACUACGCAUGUAUACUGUACGAAUAGUCAGUUAACAAAGUCGAGUAUGUAAUUUUGCGACAUUAAUGCUGUUUCUAUAAAUUCCGUGAAAGUAAACACCGUGACGCUAGAGGUGUGUGCAAUUUCUUUUCCUCUCCUUUUUUUCUUUCUCGUCACGCCACAAUAAACCUUGCAGAGCACGAUCACGUCAGGACAGUGGGUACCUAGUGAAUUACGACACAAGCUUUUACGAUUCUACCGUGAAUGACUGAUGCACUCUCAUUAUCAAUACCACGACUAGGCGAGGCUUAUAAAAACCCUGAUAACGUCGAAUUCGAUUCCUUUAAAAUCUAUUGUCAUCUUACUCCGCCCUUAUCACCAUACUAAUCACUGCUAACAAAAUCUAUUUUAAGGGUAUCGAAUAUAAGACAAAAAAAGUUCUCUGAAUUUCAAGUUGAUUUCCCACACACCACUGUAGGAUGUUGCCGUUAAUUUAUUACAUAUGGUAAUACGUGUACGUGUGUAAAUACAAACUUUGCAUACAAGCAAGGGAAAUUUUACAAAGUACGUAAGAACCUCGUUACCUCGUUAUCGUCAUCGGUGAGAACUUCGUGGGCACGAAGAAUAGACUUUUAUAUUAUAAAUAUAUAAUGCAUAUAUACAUAUAAUAGUUAUAUAAAAUAUACGUAUACAUAUAUAGUUACGUAAAGGCGCUCGAAGCCCAUCAAGUCACUGCGGCAAACUACGCCGAGUUCGACGGCUCGAUAGAUAGUAUGUAUUAUUUAGAGUCGGCAGGGGUGCUCGCGAUUAUAGACCACCGACCAGGAGAACUUCAUAGAACAUGACGUUAGAGCUUAGCGAAGCCUCAUCGGAACCUCGCUCUAUUCAAAUCGAAUAGACCAUCCUCGACAGGGUCGCCGGAUUGAUUAAAUUCGUUAUCAGGCUGUGAUAUAGUUAAGCAAACUUCUUGUAAUUUUGUCCCUUGGCUGGAUACGCAUGAGAGCAUGCGAUACACUGUAGAUACGCGGUAUAUUAUUAUACUGCAAUUGGAGCAUCGCUGAUAGGAAACUUAGGAAAGCAACAUUGUCUCCUGUGAUUUCAGUUAAGGAAUACUGCCGCGUGUGUGAUUUUAAGGAAAUAGGGAGAAAUGUUGUCCUGCAGCGGAUGGGACGCGAAUGAGAAAUGUAGACGCGAGUGUAAAAACCUUUGGAACAAGAAACGAAUAUGAAUGGUAUGACUACUGGGAAUUAAUAUCCUGGUCCAGAGUCUACUGAGGUUGGGAAUAUCGCUAAAGCUACGGCGUCCUAGACCCUUUGAACGCACGCGACGUUUAUUGAUCUGGCUAGCGAGAAGAGGGCGCCGGGACGCCGAAAACUGCGCCCGGCUUCGCUUGAUCUACGACACGCUCCAUCCCCGUGAAGGUCUUUAUCAAUUGACUUCGUGUCCUUCUCAGAACGAAUGUGUCCUGGAUGCUGGAUCAAUGCGAGUUGGACGAUUUUAAGAAAGUCCAAAUCUUCUAUUAGAAAUGAUAAGUCGUAGGUAGUUUGAUUUUGUUUGUUUGUUUUUCUCUCUUUCUCCAUCUUUUCCUUUCACGCUCACAAAAGGGGGGACGCCUACGUGCUUUGUGACAAACAAUAGGUUAGGAUUCUCCGAGCGCUAAUUCACUUAGUGCCUCUUCGUGACGACCGUCUUGUUCGGAUACUUUCCAUAAAUUCUACCACUUCUGGUGACCCUGUAGUUGACCUGUUGGCUGACCUGCAUCGAAGAACUUGAAAC
Molecule: long non-coding RNA, 2443 nt
Organism: Cephus cinctus (wheat stem sawfly)
Lineage: Eukaryota; Metazoa; Arthropoda; Insecta; Hymenoptera; Cephidae
Exons: 4
Source: RefSeq, a predicted model, not a curated record